Long non-coding RNA from Alosa alosa (allis shad), 374 nucleotides. RefSeq lists it as uncharacterized. The transcript is spliced from 3 exons. Lineage: Eukaryota; Metazoa; Chordata; Actinopteri; Clupeiformes; Clupeidae. The record is from RefSeq and is a predicted model, not a curated record.
UACAUGACAAGAACCCAAGGCCAACUGGUUCAGCCUUGUCUUACACAUUAAAUCAAAUAAGAAGAAGAGGUAGCUCUGCACCUUUAGCAUUAACCAACUAACUGGCAUCAAAUCCUUAAAUGAAUGAAAAUGUGGAAAAGAGCAGCUACUGUGAUAGUGGUGAUUCUUGCAUCACAUUAUGGCAUGGUUCAAUCAACUACAACUAGAGCAACUCAAUCAACAACAUGUGAGUGUGUGUGCGCUCCAGGUACAAGCCUCGCAACAGUUAUGACCAGUGCUCCAACACCACUCAUAACUGAAGCAACACAAUCAACCAAAACAGAAUCAACACAAUCAACUACAACUACAACUGCACAAUCAACCAUAACUGGAGC